GAUUACUACUUUCUCACUCUAGCCUCAGUCUUUUCUCUUCAAAGGGUUUAUAUAUAUGAAACUUUAUGGUUGUGUAUGACAUUAUUACCCUCAGAAUGACGGAUUCCAUGAAUUAUAAAUCAAUUGGGCAUUUUUGUGAAAAUUAAAGCUCUAAGCUUUCCACAUCCAAAAUCAAAACUCAAAGCCGUCGUCGCGAUUACCAAUCCAAUCCAAUCCAAUCCAAUCCAAUCGUCACAACCAGAAAAAUGGCGAAAGGUUUGAUAUGGGCGAGUGCUGAGGAUUUGGCUCGGAACAGGGGGCGGGUUCUGUCGCUGUACCGGCAGAUACUGAGGAGCCUGAACUCACCCGAUCUGCCGUUCAACUUCGCGGCGCGGCUGGCGAAGAAGGCGGAGGCUCGCGCGAUCUUCGUGGUGGCCGCGGAGGAGCGAUCCGUCCACAACAUCGAGGACCUCAUAGGCACCGGCGAGUACGCUCUCUCGCUUCUCAAGAAAGGCCAAAUCCCCAAAUAUAGUUUGUCUAGCUGAGACGGAGAGGUGUUGGGAUUAAAAAUGACCAUUUUUGAAGCUGGGAUUCUGCAUUCAUCUAUUUUCCAUAUUUCGAUUUCGAAAAAUAAGGUUUUGAACUUGAUUUUUGGUUUGAGAAUGUAUGAAUAAUUAUAAUUUCGAUUCGAUCUUAUCUCAUCAAUAUGUUAUGUAGUAGUAUUAUUAAAAUUUACAUGUAAAAAGUCUUAGUGA
Salvia splendens (bonfire salvia) is the source of this 734-nucleotide long non-coding RNA. RefSeq lists it as uncharacterized. The transcript has 2 exons. NCBI's taxonomy places the organism in Eukaryota, Viridiplantae, Streptophyta, Magnoliopsida, Lamiales, Lamiaceae. The record is from RefSeq and is a predicted model, not a curated record.